RNAcentral lists this long non-coding RNA (521 nucleotides) under Heterocephalus glaber (naked mole-rat). RNAcentral describes it as "lncRNA (ENSHGLG00100047838.1)". Lineage: Eukaryota; Metazoa; Chordata; Mammalia; Rodentia; Bathyergidae. The record is from RNAcentral.
UGGGGGUGUGGCUCUGGGAGUGUGGAAGGUGCUGAUAGCGAGGGAAUGAGAGAGAGGUGCUGAGAGCCACUGCACAAGUGUUUCUGAGGCCUAGCUGCCUGCUGCCUGCUGUGAAACCCUAUAAACCCUGCCCCGUGGGAAUUGAGCAGAAAGGACAGGGACCUCCUCCUCUCUGGAAGUCUCUGAAGAUGAUGGUGGACAAAGGUGAGGUUGUCAGCUGGCUCAGGAACCAGCGCACAUCCGAGUACCACCUUCCAAUGAAAACCCAGUGAAGCUCUCCAAAGGCCUUAGGGAUGAGAAGCUAUCAGAUGGAAGGGGCCUGGGUCUCUGAAGGACUAUGUGGUGCAGAGAGACCACAAAUCUACACUGCUUUGGCUUUAUUUGACACAUUAUUACUAUGGCAAGUCCCUGAGACUUGGGAUAGUGUGCUCUGAGUAUUAGCAUAUCUUGGCUAAAAUAAUUUCCCUUCCUGGUGGCCACUAAUAGUAGUAGUUGAUUCCUUUGGGUUUAUCCAAUAAAAU